RNAcentral lists this ribosomal RNA (253 nucleotides) under uncultured bacterium. Its description in RNAcentral is "partial 16S ribosomal RNA". It matches the Rfam family "Bacterial small subunit ribosomal RNA", at positions 524 to 776 of the family's 1533-position model. The record is from RNAcentral.
UACGUAGGGUGCGAGCGUUGUCCGGAAUUAUUGGGCGUAAGGGGCUCGUAGGCGGUUUGUCGCGUCGGGAGUGAAAUCCACUGGCUUAACUGGUGGCUUGCUUUCGAUACGGGCAGACUGGAGGUAUGCAGGGGAGAACGGAAUUCCUGGUGUAGCGGUGAAAUGCGCAGAUAUCAGGAGGAACACCGGUGGCGAAGGCGGGUCUCUGGGCAACAACUGACGCUGAGGAGCGAAAGCGUGGGGAGCGAACAGG